UAUAUAUAAUUGCACAAUACCUGCAACAAUUGUUGAGGUGUUUUCACCGUUUAUUAUUGUUCUGAUCACAGGGUUUAAUUGCGUUUCUACCCUCUAUAAUUUAUAGACUUGUUUCUACAACAUUUUUCUUCUAAUUUAUAUAAUUGCGUAUGUAUGAAUGUCCUUUUUUUUUUUUUUAAUUAGUUUUCUACCAUUCAAAAGUUUGGCAGAUGAAAUUUCAGUUUCGGUUUAACAGUGGCAUUGCAUUAUCUCAGUAUUAUUGGUUGACCUUUUCUUUGUUUCUGUUUAUAUCAAGGUACUCAGCAUCGUAUCUAAUUUUAGUUUACUCUGUUGACACAGCAUAUGGCUUCGAGAGUUUUGGCCGGUUGGUGCACCGCGAUGGGCCGAUCAUGGUUAGGCACUAUUUGGAUGCUUUGAACUAUGCAUGCGAGCAUCUUUGACAAUGACCCAUCCAAACCUGCUUAGGUCCAUUCAUGGCCUUGAAAAUGAUCAUGUGCACUAUAUAUUUCGACCAAAUGCCAUUGUGUAUGAGUCGUACACAAUGAAAAUCCUACCAUACAUACAAAUCUUAAGAGGAUUGGAUGUAUACUUCUGUCUUUCGGACAAGAUGGAUUUCAUGGUGAAUCAGUCAGACUUGCAAACACUAAGAAAUGUCGGAGUCUUUGUUGCAGGCAAAAACUCUCAAUGUGGUUCAGGUUUUCCUGCCUUCAGAUGUCAAAGAUGAAAUUGACAAGUUAAAUGAAGACUUAAAUACUGCAGGCUGCAGCAGAUAUGCUGAGCCAGAAAACAAGGCGAAGUUCUGGAAAAAUACAGAGAGUCUUCAAUGCAAUACAAUGACAUGCAUUUAUGCUUUUUCUCUUUCUUGUUGGUCUUUUUCUAUCCAUUCUUGGGCACAAACAUGCAACUAUGUAAGAUUUCUCUUGGUUCUAAAUUCUAUUACAUUCCCAUCAUAUUGUUGAUGUUCUCAGAAAUAAUAUAAUGGGAUAUUUCUUCGUAUUUUUAUGUCCGAUUCAACCUCAUACUGAUGCAGAUUCGUCGUUAGUGGAUGGUUACUUGUGGCAGUAACAUUCAUUCUUUUGGAGGAUUUGCUAGUACUCGAGAAUGUCAUUUCCAACACUUGUAUGGCUAUGGGAGAGUAGGUAGAUACUUCUCAGGCAGAGACCACUCUAAGCAGUAUCCUUCCUUGUGUUGACCAAAGAACCACAAACCAGACCCUCACUCAGAGUAAACAAGUCGUCAAUGAUAUUGUAAAUAUCGUCAACCAAUUCAUAUACACCAUUGCCGAUACAAAUCUGUCUUCUCAGGCCAAUAAUCCUAGGUACUACAAUCAAUCUGGUCCAUCGAUGCCACCUCUGUGUUAUCCAUAUGACUGUCAGCUGCAAGUUCACCAGUGUACUUCCUUCGAGGUGCCCAUGGCAAAUGCUUCUCUGGUAUGUGGUGUUGUAUUGUGGAUUUGUUUCUUAUUUAGUUAUUGUUCUUCUAGACGAUGCUCCAAACCAAGGAUGAUCAUGAGCAAGGCUACUGCAAUCAUUUUGGGUCUUCUCUGCUUAACUGAGCCAGCCCUAGCUCUGGGGCUUGUAUGCUCUAGUUAGUUACGUCCACCAAGACAAAAUGUGGAAACUCUUGCCAGGCUCGAACUGACCAAGGCUUCAAAGUAUCUGGUGUUUCGUUACCAAUAAUUUCAUUCCAAUUUGGGCUUUGGUUUUGAACACCAAUUUGAUUUAAAACUACAAGUCGGUGGACAAUGUUAAAUAGCUGUUCUUUUGCUGUUCUUUAACUGCAUCUUCAUCUUGACUUGCAUCAUGCUGGCUCCGUUGUCUUAAAAUACUCAAUACCUGCAGCAAGGUAAGCUUAGUCUCACGUUAAUUGCGAAGUAGAAGUUUACUGAUCUAACAUUCUUUUGGAAUGACGGAC
Molecule: RNA transcript, 1914 nt
Organism: Rhododendron vialii
Lineage: Eukaryota; Viridiplantae; Streptophyta; Magnoliopsida; Ericales; Ericaceae
Exons: 5
Source: RefSeq, a predicted model, not a curated record